Molecule: ribosomal RNA, 465 nt
Filed under: Vreelandella stevensii
Lineage: Bacteria; Pseudomonadati; Pseudomonadota; Gammaproteobacteria; Oceanospirillales; Halomonadaceae
Description: partial 16S ribosomal RNA
Rfam family: Bacterial small subunit ribosomal RNA
Source: RNAcentral
CCUACGGGGGGCAGCAGUGGGGAAUAUUGGACAAUGGGGGGAACCCUGAUCCAGCCAUGCCGCGUGUGUGAAGAAGGCCCUCGGGUUGUAAAGCACUUUCAGUGAGGAAGAACGCCUGGUGGUUAAUACCCAUCAGGAAAGACAUCACUCACAGAAGAAGCACCGGCUAACUCCGUGCCAGCAGCCGCGGUAAUACGGAGGGUGCGAGCGUUAAUCGGAAUUACUGGGCGUAAAGCGCGCGUAGGUGGCUUGAUAAGCCGGUUGUGAAAGCCCCGGGCUCAACCUGGGACCGGCAUCCGGAACUGUCAAGCUAGAGUGCAGGAGAGGAAGGUAGAAUUCCCGGUGUAGCGGUGAAAUGCGUAGAGAUCGGGAGGAAUACCAGUGGCGAAGGCGGCCUUCUGGACUGACACUGACACUGAGGUGCGAAAGCGUGGGUAGCAAACAGGAUUAGAUACCCUUGUAGUC